UUAUAAGAGGCUCCAAAGAGCUCUCUCACCCCUUCUACCAUGUGAGAACACAGCAAAAAGAUGCCAUCCAUGAACCUGUAACCAGAAGUCACCGGCAGUUGCUGAAGUGUCCCACACUUGCAGACCCACAGCCUUUGCUCAUUCUGGAGAGGUGUCAGAAGUUUAACGUGGAUGAGCAACACGAGAACAUGGCAAUGACUGCUGGCUCUCUCAUGUGUGCCAGGGCACCCAGCCCAGGCAGUUGGGUGACGACCCGCCCACUGAGGUGACUUCACCUAACAAUGGAACAGUGUGGAAAUGCAAUGAAAGCUGAGCUUUAAAAACUGCCCUGUGACUCCAAAGUGUUUUUAUGCAUGAAGUCAUUGUAAAAAUUUUAUCAACAUCUGAUUUCCAAUAUUUUGUGAUAAUCAAGGAAAAGUUCUCUUUCGCCAGACUUGGAUUGAGUUCCACAGCAGUGUCUAGCAUCUAUGGGCUCUUUAUCUCCUUCGGUGCCAGAUGAGCCAGUAAUGUUGAAAAGUGACUACGCCUUUGAGAUGAAUUGCAAUGCCGGGUCUGCCGCUAACUGGGAGCCGUGUUGCAUCCUUCCUCAACACCCUGCCGCGGUGUGUGCCGCCUUGAAACCAUGUCAUCGAACAGAAACCUCCACACACAGGAAGUCGCUGAAAAAUGGCGUGGGGAUUUGUCAGCCCUCCUUCAGCCCACAGGCUCUUCAUUAACACUCAGAAAAGCGGACUCAGCAAACUAACAAAGUGGGGGGAACUCGAUGCUUAUUUCCUUAGCAAUGAAGCUGGGCCGUCAUAUAUAUGCCUCGAGCUAAAUGGACGGGUGUCCUGAGUGCUAGCCAGGUUCACCAGGCAAAGGAGAAUUUCCACUUGGAAUCAAAGCCAUCCUCAGCUCCUCCCGGCAGUCUCCUACACCGAAGGCCCAGGGGAACCGUGAUAGCUGGACAGUGUUCUCCCCCAACAGCACAGCUACAGAAGCCAUCGGGAAAACUGGUGGCUAUGUAGUAGCUAUGUCGGGUGCUUCGUUGAUAAUUUUGUUCAAAUCUUUUAUGAUUGUACUUCGAUUCUGCCUUUAGAAUUGCAGGUUCCACGUGCCAUUAUAUCGUGUAUAUAUUGGUUCUUUUUUCGUUUUUCUUGAACUUACCUUGUUUAAAAAAAGUCAUAGUUCCUCAUGACAAGGUAUGUUGCUGUGCAAUGGACAGA
Long non-coding RNA from Eptesicus fuscus (big brown bat), 1205 nucleotides. RefSeq lists it as uncharacterized. The record is from RefSeq and is a predicted model, not a curated record. The transcript is spliced from 6 exons. NCBI's taxonomy places the organism in Eukaryota, Metazoa, Chordata, Mammalia, Chiroptera, Vespertilionidae.